GACGAACGCUGGCGGCGUGCUUAACACAUGCAAGUCGAACGGAAAGGCCCUGCUUUUGUGGGGUGCUCGAGUGGCGAACGGGUGAGUAACACGUGAGUAACCUGCCCUUGACUUUGGGAUAACUUCAGGAAACUGGGGCUAAUACCGGAUAGGAGCUCCUGCUGCAUGGUGGGGGUUGGAAAGUUUCGGCGGUUGGGGAUGGACUCGCGGCUUAUCAGCUUGUUGGUGGGGUAGUGGCUUACCAAGGCUUUGACGGGUAGCCGGCCUGAGAGGGUGACCGGCCACAUUGGGACUGAGAUACGGCCCAGACUCCUACGGGAGGCAGCAGUGGGGAAUAUUGCACAAUGGGCGGAAGCCUGAUGCAGCAACGCCGCGUGCGGGAUGACGGCCUUCGGGUUGUAAACCGCUUUCGCCUGUGACGAAGUGUGAGUGACGGUAAUGGGUAAAGAAGCACCGGCUAACUACAUG
Molecule: ribosomal RNA, 468 nt
Filed under: uncultured bacterium
Lineage: Bacteria
Description: partial 16S ribosomal RNA
Rfam family: Bacterial small subunit ribosomal RNA
Source: RNAcentral